UACGUAGGGUGCGAGCGUUGGCCGGAAUUAUUGGGCGUAAAGGGCUCGUAGGCGGUUUGUCGCGUCGGGAGUGAAAACCCAGGGCUUAACUCUGGGCUUGCUUUCGAUACGGGCAGACUAGAGGUAUGCAGGGGAGAACGGAAUUCCUGGUGUAGCGGUGAAAUGCGCAGAUAUCAGGAGGAACACCGGUGGCGAAGGCGGUUCUCUGGGCAUUACCUGACGCUGAGGAGCGAAAGUGUGGGGAGCGAACAGG
Molecule: ribosomal RNA, 253 nt
Filed under: uncultured bacterium
Lineage: Bacteria
Description: partial 16S ribosomal RNA
Rfam family: Bacterial small subunit ribosomal RNA
Source: RNAcentral